Molecule: ribosomal RNA, 270 nt
Filed under: uncultured prokaryote
Description: partial 16S ribosomal RNA
Rfam family: Bacterial small subunit ribosomal RNA
Source: RNAcentral
UACGUAGGGGACGAGCGUUGUCCGGAAUUACUGGGCGUAAAGGGCGCGCAGGCUGCGUUACAAGUCAGCUGUUAAAUGCAUGGGCUUACCCCAUGAGUGCGGUUGAAACUGUAGUGCUAGAGUACUGUAGAGGCAAGCGGAAUUCCCAGUGUAGCGGUGAAAUGCGUAGAUAUUGGGAGGAACACCGGUGGCGUAGGCGGCUUGAUGGACAGUAACUGACGCCGAGGCGCGAAAGCCAGGGGAGCAAACGGGAUUAGAUACCCCUGUAGU